AUUAACUUCCUCAGUUCAUUCCGAUCAGUUCGUUCUGUGAACAAAGGUUAGCUUCCCGCUAACCUCCAGCUGUGGAUGAAGAACGAACGUUGUCCGCUGCGGUCUCUGCCGUCUUCGGGCUUCUCUCGAACAGUUUUGCUUCUGUGGGGCCUCGAAGAGAAAAUUUUCCUUUUUAGAAAUGACGACCCUGGAGCCUCAGGACUGGAACACCUUGAUGAGAGGAACGUGUCAAAGGUCAUCUAGUCGAUGAGAAGAGGAACCCAUUUAUUGAGCCACAGUAAACAGAGUUUCUCUGAAUUUAAGAACAACUUUAGUCAGACGGACUGAGCAGAAACUCAGAUUAAAGUUUAUUAAAAGAUCAUAAAAUAUCUGCUUCACUAAAAUGUUUUUUCAUCAGUUAUAAACUGUUUCUCUUCAUCCUUCACUUCAACUACGAGCAAAACAUUAAAACAAGUAAAAUUAUUGUUAA
Long non-coding RNA from Girardinichthys multiradiatus, 469 nucleotides. RefSeq lists it as uncharacterized. The record is from RefSeq and is a predicted model, not a curated record. NCBI's taxonomy places the organism in Eukaryota, Metazoa, Chordata, Actinopteri, Cyprinodontiformes, Goodeidae. The transcript has 2 exons.